This 505-nucleotide ribosomal RNA is filed under the name uncultured bacterium. RNAcentral describes it as "partial 16S ribosomal RNA". It matches the Rfam family "Bacterial small subunit ribosomal RNA", at positions 29 to 523 of the family's 1533-position model. The record is from RNAcentral.
AUUGAACGCUGGCGGCAGGCCUAACACAUGCAAGUCGGACGGUAGCACAGAGGAGCUUGCUCCUCGGGUGACGAGUGGCGGACGGGUGAGUAAUGUCUGGGGAUCUGCCCGAUAGAGGGGGAUAACCACUGGAAACGGUGGCUAAUACCGCAUACGUCGCAAGACCAAGGUGGGGGACCUUCGGGCCUCACACCAUCGGAUGUGCCCAGAUGGGAUUAGCUAGUAGGUGGGGUAAUGGCUCACCUAGGCGACGAUCCCUAGCUGGUCUGAGAGGAUGACCAGCCACACUGGAACUGAGACACGGUCCAGACUCCUACGGGAGGCAGCAGUGGGGAAUAUUGCACAAUGGGCGCAAGCCUGAUGCAGCCAUGCCGCGUGUAUGAAGAAGGCCUUCGGGUUGUAAAGUACUUUCAGCGGGGAGGAAGGCGGUGGAGUUAAUAACUUCACCGAUUGACGUUACCCGCAGAAGAAGCACCGGCUAACUCCGUGCCAGCCGCCGCGGUAA